UACGGGGGGGGCAAGCGUUGUUCGGAAUUACUGGGCGUAAAGGGCUCGUAGGUGGCCAACUAAGUCGGACGUGAAAUCCCUCAGCUUAACUGGGGAACUGCGUCCGAUACUGGAUGGCUUGAGUUUGGGAGAGGGAUGCGGAAUUCCAGGUGUAGCGGUGAAAUGCGUAGAUAUCUGGAGGAACACCGGUGGCGAAGGCGACUCUUUGGCCUGUAACUGACGCUGAGGCGCGAAAGCGUGGGGAGCAAACAGG
Molecule: ribosomal RNA, 253 nt
Filed under: uncultured bacterium
Lineage: Bacteria
Description: partial 16S ribosomal RNA
Rfam family: Bacterial small subunit ribosomal RNA
Source: RNAcentral